GACACAGAAUAUAACAGAAUGGCUCUUCUAAGCUUGAGUACAAACACAGAAAAAGAUCCUGUGUAAUGUCCAGCUUUCUGUCAACCAUGCCUGAAACAAUUCACACAUAUCUUUCUCCAAUAAGUAUUUCACUUGUACUGGUGUACAUUGCUGAUCUAUAUGUUUGCCAGAAGUCACAUUCAAAAAGAAAAGAAAAAGAACAGACUAAGGAAAAAAAUACUAAAAGAAUAACUACUGCUUAAAACAAGACCUCAGAAAUAAGAUCACAACCAUAAAAUUAAUGU
This is a non-coding RNA of Pseudonaja textilis, 284 nucleotides long. The record is from RefSeq and is a predicted model, not a curated record. NCBI's taxonomy places the organism in Eukaryota, Metazoa, Chordata, Lepidosauria, Squamata, Elapidae.